AUUGAACGCUGGCGGCAUGCUUUACACAUGCAAGUCGAACGGCAGCGCGGGCUUCGGCCUGGCGGCGAGUGGCGAACGGGUGAGUAAUGCAUCGGAACGUGCCCAGUAGUGGGGGAUAGCCCGGCGAAAGCCGGAUUAAUACCGCAUACGACCUGAGGGUGAAAGCGGGGGACCGAAAGGCCUCGCGCUAUUGGAGCGGCCGAUGUCGGAUUAGCUAGUUGGUGGGGUAAAGGCUUACCACGGCGACGAUCCGUAGCUGGUCUGAGAGGACGACCAGCCACACUGGGACUGAGACACGGCCCAGACUCCUACGGGAGGCAGCAGUGGGGAAUUUUGGACAAUGGGGGCAACCCUGAUCCAGCCAUGCCGCGUGCGGGAAGAAGGCCUUCGGGUUGUAAACCGCUUUUGUUCGGGAAGAAAUCCUCUGGGCUAAUACCCCGGGGGGAUGACGGUACCGGAAGAAUAAGCACCGGCUAACUACGUG
This 484-nucleotide ribosomal RNA is filed under the name uncultured bacterium. RNAcentral describes it as "partial 16S ribosomal RNA". It matches the Rfam family "Bacterial small subunit ribosomal RNA", at positions 28 to 507 of the family's 1533-position model. The record is from RNAcentral.